AAGCGUUGUUCGGAAUUACUGGGCGUAAAGGGCUCSUAGGUGGCCAACUAAGUCAGACGUGAAAUCCCUCGGCUUAACCGGGGAACUGCGUCUGAUACUGGUUGGCUUGAGUUUGGGAGAGGGACGCGGAAUUCCAGGUGUAGCGGUGAAAUGCGUAGAUAUCUGGAGGAACACCGGUGGCGAAGGCGGCGUCCUGGACCAACACUGACACUGAUGAGCGAAAGCCAGGGGAGCAAACGGGAUUAGAUACCCCGGUAGUCCUGGCCCUAAACGAUGAAUGCUUGGUGUGGCGGGUAUCGAUCCCUGCCGUGCCGAAGCUAACGCAUUAAGCAUUCCGCCUGGGGAGUACGGUCGCAAGGCUG
This 362-nucleotide ribosomal RNA is filed under the name uncultured bacterium. Its description in RNAcentral is "bacterial SSU rRNA". It matches the Rfam family "Bacterial small subunit ribosomal RNA", at positions 536 to 896 of the family's 1533-position model. The record is from RNAcentral.